This 490-nucleotide long non-coding RNA is filed under the name Mus pahari (shrew mouse). RNAcentral's name for it is "lncRNA (MGP_PahariEiJ_G0003979.1)". The record is from RNAcentral. Lineage: Eukaryota; Metazoa; Chordata; Mammalia; Rodentia; Muridae.
GGCAGGAGGAGGAAAGUUUGAAAAGUCACUUAAAGCAUUGCAAGGUUCUCCCCCACCCCCAGCACCGGGAGAGCCCACCGCACAGACAGGAACCGGGGCUCCACGUGCGCAGCGGGCCCAAGAGAAGCUGGAGUUCCCUCUAGGUCCUCGAACAUACAAGAGACGAAGAACAUUACCGAAAGGUAAUCAGAAAAACUCCGUCUGGGGGGAAGUCCCAUCGGGUGACCUGCCUGCCUCAGUGGAGGAAAGUCGUGAGAGAAGAGAAACAGGCAGGAGGUGGAGAGAGCCUACUCGCUGAUUGAGAGCCAGUGGCAGGACCCAGAGGAACCUAAGCCUCCAAGCAGCAACACCCUCUCCUGGGCGCUAGGAGGACCACAGGCUGCCAGAGAGAGCACUUUCACACCCUUCUGCCCUUCUGGCUGGCCUAGGUUGCACCUUCCCGAGGGAAAGUAUCUUGAAAUAAAGUUUUUUUUUUUAAAAAGAAAAGCUG